Molecule: transfer RNA, 72 nt
Filed under: Camelus ferus (Wild Bactrian camel)
Lineage: Eukaryota; Metazoa; Chordata; Mammalia; Artiodactyla; Camelidae
Rfam family: tRNA
About the family: Transfer RNA (tRNA) molecules are approximately 80 nucleotides in length. Their secondary structure includes four short double-helical elements and three loops (D, anti-codon, and T loops).
Source: Rfam by way of RNAcentral
GAGGAUAUAGCUCAAGUGGUAGAGCACAGCUUAAUAUACGCAAGGUCCUGGGUUCAAUCCCCAGUACCUCCU